RNAcentral lists this unclassified non-coding RNA (339 nucleotides) under soil metagenome. RNAcentral's name for it is "partial contains 5.8S ribosomal RNA, internal transcribed spacer 2, and large subunit ribosomal RNA". The stretch from base 1 to 120 matches the Rfam family "5.8S ribosomal RNA", at positions 35 to 154 of the family's 154-position model. The record is from RNAcentral.
GAUGAAGAACGUAGCGAAAUGCGAUACGUAGUGUGAAUUGCAGAAUUCAGUGAAUCAUCGAAUGUUUGAACGCACAUUGCACCUCUCGGUAUUCCGGGAGGUAUGCCUGUUCGAGCGUCAUUUGUACCCUCAAGCUCUGCUUGGUGUUGGGUGUUUGUUCCGCCUCUGUGUGUGAACUCGCCUCAAAACAAUUGGCAGCCGGCGUACUUGUUUCGGAGCGCAGCACAUUUUGCGAUCCAGAUCAACGUACAGCGGCAUCCAAGAAGCCUUAUUUAACGCUCUUGACCUCGGAUCAGGUAGGGAUACCCGCUGAACUUAAGCAUAUCAAUAAGCGGAGGA